This 914-nucleotide ribosomal RNA is filed under the name uncultured bacterium. Its description in RNAcentral is "bacterial SSU rRNA". It matches the Rfam family "Bacterial small subunit ribosomal RNA", at positions 8 to 916 of the family's 1533-position model. The record is from RNAcentral.
AGAGUUUGAUCCUGGCUCAGGAUGAACGCUAGCGACAGGCCUAACACAUGCAAGUCGAGGGGCAGCACGGUGUAGCAAUACACGGGUGGCGACCGGCGCACGGGUGAGUAACGCGUAUGCAACCUGCCUACUACAAGGGGAUAACCCGUUGAAAGACGGACUAAUACCCUAUAACACAGGGAAUCCGCAUGGAUAUAUUUGUUAAAGAUUAAUCGGUAGUAGAUGGGCAUGCGUUCCAUUAGCUUGUUGGUGAGGUAACGGCUCACCAAGGCAACGAUGGAUAGGGGAACUGAGAGGUUGAUCCCCCACACUGGAACUGAGACACGGUCCAGACUCCUACGGGAGGCAGCAGUGAGGAAUAUUGGUCAAUGGACGAGAGUCUGAACCAGCCAAGUCGCGUGAAGGAAGACGGCCCUACGGGUUGUAAACUUCUUUUGUAAGGGAAUAAAUAGUCUUACGCGCUAAGACGUUGCAGGUGCCUUACGAAUAAGGAUCGGCUAACUCCGUGCCAGCAGCCGCGGUAAUACGGAGGAUCCGAGCGUUAUCCGGAUUUAUUGGGUUUAAAGGGUGCGCAGGCGGCAUGUUAAGUCGGCGGUGAAAUUUUGCAGCUCAACUGUAAAAGAGCCUUCGAAACUGGCAAGCUUGAGUGUGGAUGAAGUAGGCGGAAUUUGUGGUGUAGCGGUGAAAUGCAUAGAUAUCACAAAGAACACCGAUUGCGCAGGCAGCUUACUAAACCAUAACUGACGCUCAUGCACGAAGGCGUGGGGAUCAAACAGGAUUAGAUACCCUGGUAGUCCACGCAGUAAACGAUGAUUACUGGCUGUUUGCGAUACAAUGUAAGCGGCUGAGCGAAAGCGUUAAGUAAUCCACCUGGGGAGUACGUUCGCAAGAAUGAAACUCAAAUGAAUUGACGG